This 253-nucleotide ribosomal RNA is filed under the name uncultured bacterium. RNAcentral's name for it is "partial 16S ribosomal RNA". It matches the Rfam family "Bacterial small subunit ribosomal RNA", at positions 524 to 776 of the family's 1533-position model. The record is from RNAcentral.
UACGGGGGGGGCAAGCGUUGUUCGGAAUUAUUGGGCGUAAAGGGCUCGUAGGCGGUCUGUUGCGUCGGGAGUGAAAACUCAGGGCUUAACCCUGAGCCUGCUUCCGAUACGGGCAGACUAGAGGUAUGCAGGGGAGAACGGAAUUCCUGGUGUAGCGGUGAAAUGCGCAGAUAUCAGGAGGAACACCGGUGGCGAAGGCGGUUCUCUGGGCAUUACCUGACGCUGAGGAGCGAAAGUGUGGGGAGCGAACAGG